GGGGCUGUAGCUCAGUGAUAGAGUGUUCACCUCACUCGUGCGAGACCCUGGGUUCGAUCCUCAGCACCACG
Molecule: transfer RNA, 71 nt
Filed under: Marmota monax (woodchuck)
Lineage: Eukaryota; Metazoa; Chordata; Mammalia; Rodentia; Sciuridae
Description: tRNA.Val
Source: RNAcentral